This is a long non-coding RNA of Lolium rigidum, 810 nucleotides long. RefSeq lists it as uncharacterized. The record is from RefSeq and is a predicted model, not a curated record. Lineage: Eukaryota; Viridiplantae; Streptophyta; Magnoliopsida; Poales; Poaceae. The transcript is spliced from 4 exons.
GCCGCACUCACGCUCGAGAACCUCACGUUCUUUAAUGUUAUGAUUGGCGCGGUUGUCUGGAUUUGGAAGUGGUGAACAAGAGAAAAGUUACUAUCUCACUUGAAGACAAUGGAUUACUGCUGGUGUAUAUAUGUAAAAUUACUUACUGGUGGUCUUACUUUCAGAUCGCAAGUUUGUCCGAAUCAGACUGGAAAAGAAUUGCUUGGACAUUCUUGGGUAUUGUGGUCCUGUGAUUUUUUAAUAUGCUUAGACACUGUGAGUAGCUAAAUGGUAGGGACAUGUAAGAGUGCAUUCUAAUUUUUGGCUUAGGCCUGGCUAGCCCAUUAUGUCAUCAUCUUCUUUGGGUUGCAGGUUCCUUGCCUUCUGUUAAAAUAGUGUUGUUUCUGUGGAGCAGGUAAAAGAGGAGUCCUAUUUUUGGUUCAGGUUUCUUGCCAAUAAUUAUCCUUUUGGCUGCAUCGUGUUCUUCCGGCAACUAUGUUAAUUGCUCUGAGAUGGGAUUUCUUCUGUUCUGUAUAUGUACGGAGGCUUCGUAUGUCUUCUUACUUAUAACCCUGAUUGGUAUGCAGGUUCCUGUUUUUUUUCUUGAUCUAGCUCUGCUCAUUUCAAUUGUUUGUUUUGCUUCCAUAUCCUCUUGUUUUGGUACCUGACAAGGUGUUUAGUCUUUUCCUCUUUUCUCUCAAAAAUUGGGUGUUACAUGAUUUUUUUGGUAAAUCUUUGUGAAUUGAUGUAACUGAAUAAGUGAAUAAGCAUUCAGAAGUUGUGAAAUACAAUACGAGUUUUUUUGGGGUAAAUCUGCAUGUUAGAAAAUGC